GACGAACGCUGGCGGCGUGCUUAACACAUGCAAGUCGAACGGAAAGGCCCUGCUUUUGUGGGGUUCUCGAUUGGCGAACGGGUGAGUAACACGUGAGUAACCUGCCCUUGACUUUGGGAUAACUUCAGGAAACUGGGGCUAAUACCGGAUAGGAGCUCCUGCUGCAUGGUGGGGGUUGGAAAUUUUCGGCGGUUGGGGAUGGACUCGCGGCUUAUCAGCUUGUUGGUGGGGUAGUGGCUUACCAAGGCUUUGACGGGUAGCCGGCAUGAGAGGGUGACCGGCCACAUUGGGACUGAGAUACGGACCAGACUCCUACGGGAGGCAGCAGUGGGGAAUAUUGCACAAUGGGCGGAAGCCUGAUGCAGAAACGCCGCGUGCGGGAUGACGGCCUUCGGGUUGUAAACCGCUUUCGCCUGUGACGAAGCGUGAGUGACGGUAAUGGGUAAAGAAGCACCGGCUAACUACGUG
Molecule: ribosomal RNA, 468 nt
Filed under: uncultured bacterium
Lineage: Bacteria
Description: partial 16S ribosomal RNA
Rfam family: Bacterial small subunit ribosomal RNA
Source: RNAcentral